RNAcentral lists this microRNA precursor (96 nucleotides) under Marmota monax (woodchuck). Lineage: Eukaryota; Metazoa; Chordata; Mammalia; Rodentia; Sciuridae. The record is from RNAcentral.
AGUGAGCUAGCUGAGUCAAAUGGUGGUUUCAUUUUCUGAGGAAUAUUCAUAUCACUUUCCAAAAUGGUUGCACCAAUUUGCAUUCCCACCAGCAAU